AUAGACUCCUAGGAGAACCGUUAACGUGAUGGUAAUCAGCAAUAUCAAAGUCAGAACGCUAAAGCCAGUAUAAAGUGACUUGAGCCAGUUGGACCAUGUCAAGGGGCGCCACAGUCCGAUGCACUUUAAAAUGCGGAAGGUUGUAUUUGGAAAGACGUUGCUUCUGGUUGAGACACCAGUCGUUUGUGCAUUCAAUGUGUGCGUCAUAGAUACACGUAUUCCGAUACUCUAUUCGCUAUUUUAAUGAUUCAUCGAAAGAAAGUCAUUUCUCCGACCACGUUACGACUACCAUUUCGCUUGAUUAAUAAUAACAACGUCACAUCGACAAAGUAACCGCAAGAUACUUUGCGUAAUGUAUGUGGGUGCUGUGCUAGCAGCCACCUUUCCUUUCGCCUUAAUUAAUAACUACGUAGGGCGUAGAAUUUAUUCAAGAAUAUUUUGCGAUUGCGCAACUCACGAUGUGAAAAACGCGUCGAAAUUGUAACUCUCGAUUAGCUAUCUUUAAAAAGUUCAAAUUGAAACGCCGACAGAUAAUUCGAAAGCUGCGUUUAAAUUCGAAAUUUCAUUAAAAAAUAGUUCAUAUUUUCAUGAAAAUCACGGCCACCAGAACAAAUUUCAAAUUCAUCAAUGUGCCAAUGAAAAAAUAGCUGGAAUUAAGAAGAAUGCCGUUAUCGGAUAUAGUAAAAUUUAUUGAU
Molecule: long non-coding RNA, 695 nt
Organism: Phymastichus coffea
Lineage: Eukaryota; Metazoa; Arthropoda; Insecta; Hymenoptera; Eulophidae
Exons: 3
Source: RefSeq, a predicted model, not a curated record